This is a long non-coding RNA of Helianthus annuus (common sunflower), 165 nucleotides long. RefSeq lists it as uncharacterized. The transcript has 3 exons. Lineage: Eukaryota; Viridiplantae; Streptophyta; Magnoliopsida; Asterales; Asteraceae. The record is from RefSeq and is a predicted model, not a curated record.
UUGUUGUCAUCGAUUGUCAUCAAAGUUGAAAUCAGCUUAGCUGCGGAUAGAUUUCUGCCAUAAGCUGUUGAAGGGAUCAUUUGAGUGAAAUCAAUGUUGAUUUAUCAGAAGAUGCAGUUGAAGAUAUCUUAAUUAAGGAUGUAAUACAAUUAUAAAGACUGAUGG